UGAUGAAUAUUGGUCAAUGGGCGCAAGCCUGAACCAGCCAUGCCGCGUGCAGGAAGACGGUCCUAUGGAUUGUAAACUGCUUUUAUUCGGGAAUAAACCACAUUACGUGUAGUGUGCUGAAUGUACCGAAGGAAUAAGGAUCGGCUAACUCCGUGCCAGCAGCCGCGGUAAUACGGAGGAUCCAAGAGUUAUCCGGAUUUAUUGGGUUUAAAGGGUGCGUAGGCGGCCUGUUAAGUCAGGGGUGAAAGACGGUGGCUCAACCAUCGCAGUGCCCUUGAUACUGAUGAGCUUGAAUGGACUAGAGGUAGGCGGAAUGUGACAAGUAGCGGUGAAAUGCAUAGAUAUGUCACAGAACACCGAUAGCGAAGGCAGCUCACUAGGUCUGGAUUGACGCUCAGGGACGAAAGCGGGGGGAGAAAACA
Molecule: ribosomal RNA, 422 nt
Filed under: uncultured bacterium
Lineage: Bacteria
Description: bacterial SSU rRNA
Rfam family: Bacterial small subunit ribosomal RNA
Source: RNAcentral